UUCGCCCUUAGAGUUUGAUCCUGGCUCAGGAUGAACGCUGGCGGCGUGCCUAACACAUGCAAGUCGAACGAAGCUUGAUGAAUGAUUUCUUCGGAAUGAAUUCUGAUAUGACUUAGUGGCGGACGGGUGAGUAACACGUGAGCAACCUGCCUUUCAGAGGGGGAUAACGGCUGGAAACGGUCGCUAAUACCGCAUGAUAUGUUUAGAUGGCAUCAUCUGGACAUCAAAGAUUUAUCGCUGAAAGAUGGGCUCGCGUCUGAUUAGAUAGUUGGUGAGGUAACGGCUCACCAAGUCGACGAUCAGUAGCCGGACUGAGAGGUUGAACGGCCACAUUGGGACUGAGAUACGGCCCAGACUCCUACGGGAGGCAGCAGUGGGGAAUAUUGCACAAUGGGGGAAACCCUGAUGCAGCAACGCCGCGUGAAGGAAGACGGUUUUCGGAUUGUAAACUUCUUUUCUUUGUGAAGAAACAAAUGACGGUAGCAAAGGAAUAAGCAUCGGCUAACUACGUGCCAGCAGCCGCGGUAAUACGUAGGAUGCAAGCGUUAUCCGGAUUUACUGGGUGUAAAGGGAGCGCAGGCGGGACUUCAAGUUGGAUGUGAAAGGUCAAGGCUUAACCUUGGCACUGCAUCCAAAACUGUAGUUCUUGAGUGGAGUAGAGGUAAGCGGAAUUCCGAGUGUAGCGGUGAAAUGCGUAGAUAUUCGGAGGAACACCAGUGGCGAAGGCGGCUUACUGGGCUCUAACUGACGCUGAGGCUCGAAAGUGUGGGGAGCAAACAGGAUUAGAUACCCUGGUAGUCCACACUGUAAACGAUGAUAGCUAGGUGUGGGGGGUCUGACCCCUUCCGUGCCGGAGUUAACGCAAUAAGCUAUCCACCUGGGGAGAACGACCGCAAGGUUGAAACUCAAAGGAAUUGACGGGGGCCCGCACAAGCAGUGGAUUAUGUGGUUUAAUUCGAAGCAACGCGAAGAACCUUACCAGGUCUUGACAUCGUACGCAUAGCAUAGAGAUAUGUGAAAUCCCUUCGGGGACGUAUAGACAGGUGGUGCAUGGUUGUCGUCAGCUCGUGUCGUGAGAUGUUGGGUUAAGUCCCGCAACGAGCGCAACCCUUACUGUUAGUUGCUACGCAAGACCACUCUAGCGAGACUGCCGUUGACAAAACGGAGGAAGGUGGGGACGACGUCAAAUCAUCAUGCCCCUUAUGACCAGGGCUACACACGUACUACAAUGGCAGUCAUACAGAGGGAAGCAAAGCUGUGAAGCAGAGCAAAUCCCUAAAAGCUGUCCCAGUUCAGAUUGCAGGCUGCAACUCGCCUGCAUGAAGUCGGAAUUGCUAGUAAUCGCGGAUCAGCAUGCCGCGGUGAAUACAAGCCCGGGCCUUGCACACACCGCCCGUCA
This 1399-nucleotide ribosomal RNA is filed under the name uncultured bacterium. RNAcentral's name for it is "16S ribosomal RNA". It matches the Rfam family "Bacterial small subunit ribosomal RNA". The record is from RNAcentral.